This 373-nucleotide ribosomal RNA is filed under the name uncultured eukaryote. RNAcentral's name for it is "partial 18S ribosomal RNA". It matches the Rfam family "Eukaryotic small subunit ribosomal RNA", at positions 592 to 975 of the family's 1831-position model. The record is from RNAcentral.
UAAUAGUGUAUAUUAAAGUUGUUGCAGUUAAAAAGCUCGUAGUUGAAUGUUGGUGUCGAACGAGCGGUCAGCUUCGGCUGUACUGCUCUCUCGACUCCUUCCUUCUGUGGACUACGUCGCACUUUACUGUGUGGCGCUAGGACGCAGAUCGUUUACUGUGAAAAAAUUAGAGUGUUCAAAGCAGGCCGUACGCUUGAAUACAUUAGCAUGGAAUAAUGGAAUAGGACGUCGGGCCUAUUUUGUUGGUUCUAGGACCGUCGUAAUGAUUAAUAGGGACAGUUGGGGCCGUUUAUAUUCCGUAGUCAGAGGUGAAAUUCUUGGAUUUACGGAAGAUAAACUACUGCGAAAGCAUUCGGCAAGGAUGUUUUCGUUA